Non-coding RNA from Phrynosoma platyrhinos (Desert horned lizard), 72 nucleotides. The record is from the annotation of a GenBank genome assembly. NCBI's taxonomy places the organism in Eukaryota, Metazoa, Chordata, Lepidosauria, Squamata, Phrynosomatidae.
GUCAGCAUGGCGUAGUGGUUUGAGCAUUGGACUACAACUCUAGAGACCAGGGUUCAAUUCCCACCUCCGCCA